Molecule: long non-coding RNA, 965 nt
Filed under: Pectinophora gossypiella (pink bollworm)
Lineage: Eukaryota; Metazoa; Arthropoda; Insecta; Lepidoptera; Gelechiidae
Description: uncharacterized LOC126381050
Source: RNAcentral
CGUCAAGAUCAUACUUAAAAAAAAAACGUAUCGUUAGGUUUUCAAAUCAAAAAUACUUAAUAAAACACAAAAAUGACUAAAUAAAAGGACGUCGAUGAAGAGGAAGACCAAGGCGGAACUAGUAAAAGUGGAAGUUGUGUUGUAUCAGAACGACGGAACUCGCUGUGAAUGCAUAUUAACAGUCCUCAACCAACAAGACUCCUAUCUUCUUCUUUGUCGUUCCCACACUGCUGAGGAUCGCGACCACAGGUUAUGGUUUUCCACUUGGUACGGCUAUAUGCUGCGUGCACCGCCCUCUGUAUGCUGCCGUCCACCGUCUUCUUCACGAUGUCAGACCACCUCGUAGGCGCCCUUCCUCGCGCACGUUUGCUAUCCAUUUGCCCAACGAUGAUCUGCUUCUCCAGACUGUGCUUCGGAGACCGCAUAAUAUGUCCGAAGAAGCUUAGGGCACGAUUCCGGCAUAUUGAGGAGAGCCGCGUCGUGAUCUUGAGCUCUUUUAAUAUGGACUCAUUCGUACACGUAAAUAGCCUUAAAUUACCAAGUAGAGAAAGUCCACCAUGAGGUGAGCACGAAGUUUUGAAGACAGGAGUGAUUGUAUUAGAUUUCCUCCUGAGCAGUUGCACUACAAAUUUAGUGAUGAAGAGGCAAUACUUGACAGAAACCUUAAGUUGGAUGACAUAAUUAUAAAGAAAAUCAAUAAGAGGAUGAACUCUUUUAAUGUUUAUAAAACAAUAGUAUGGAAGAAUUUUGAUGCAUCUUGGAGCAAUGGCAACAUAUUUGGGAGUUGAGAGUGACAACGAGCAGAUUACAUAACAAUGGGAGGAUAACAAGGGCCUUAACUGAAAAAACUGGUGAAUGUUCCCAAAUAAACCUCACAGAUGUAGAAGAAAGACAAAAUAAAUUUGUUUAUUUAUUUUAUUUCUGUUCCCUACUAAACUAGUAAUAAAACAUACUUGUUACAAAUA